CGUAGCGCAAUUGGAUAGAGCGUCAGACUACGGAUCUGGAGGUUGAGGGUUCAAAUCCUUCCGGGC
Molecule: transfer RNA, 66 nt
Filed under: bovine gut metagenome
Rfam family: tRNA
About the family: Transfer RNA (tRNA) molecules are approximately 80 nucleotides in length. Their secondary structure includes four short double-helical elements and three loops (D, anti-codon, and T loops).
Source: RNAcentral